This is a long non-coding RNA of Neofelis nebulosa (Clouded leopard), 2281 nucleotides long. RefSeq lists it as uncharacterized. NCBI's taxonomy places the organism in Eukaryota, Metazoa, Chordata, Mammalia, Carnivora, Felidae. The record is from RefSeq and is a predicted model, not a curated record. The transcript is spliced from 3 exons.
CCGCCCAACUUCCUUGCUGGCUGUAUUUACUUUAGGGCUCCCAGGAGAGUCAUUGUUCUGGAGUGGCCAUACCCUCCUGUGUUUUUUAGAAAGCUGUGAAUUCCAGUAAGUGGAAGUGCAAUAGUUUCGAUUCCUUCUUAUCAGGACAAAGACCUUGGCUCUGCCAGUGAGAGUUCAGCUGGGGCAGAGGUGAAGGAGGCCAAGCCGGCAGUGGGGUGGGGGGGAAGCCUGCAACCCUGUCCUGACACCGUCCCUCCCCUGCCUCAUGAAGGGGUCCUCUCUCCUUCCCCUUCCCCUUCCAAGCUAAGCCUACACGCUCGCCUCCCCACCAUUCCUUCUAAGUAAGUGUUCAACUUUGAUUCCUGCCCUGGGAAGGAGUGACUCGGUCAGCAGCCCCUGUGGAGGAAGGUCAGGCCUGGGGUGAAGGUGGAACUCACACUGGGUGCCCUACAGACACUCCAAGGAAGGCUGGCACCCUUUCAUUUGCCCUGUAGUAACCCCGACACGAGAGCCCAUUGGCGCCUCUGAGCCUUCACCGAGAAGAGACUAAGGAAAAAAGGGUUAGCCAAGGCAGUGGGGGGACCUGUGGAUGGAUGUGGUCCACACAGCAUGAAAUGCCCAGGCAGUGGGAGAGGCAGCCAGCCCUGGAGGUGAUCUCAACCAGGCUGUAAGAUCAUCGGAGGGGGACUUCGUAUUGCAUGGUCUCUUCUCAGGGAUGCAGUAGCGCCCCCUUAUCCGCAGUUUCGGUUACCCGCGGCAACUGUGGGCCAGAAGCGUAGGAUCCUCAUUCUGGCAUGUUGUCAGGAGGUCAGGCAUAGCCUAAGGCCAUGUCCCUCGCCUCCAGCUCCCUCGCAGGCAUUUCAUCCUCUGGAGUCACAAGGAGAAGGGCGAGUACAGUAAAAUAUUUUGAGAGAGAGAGAGAGGACCCACAUUCACCUUUUAUUAUAGUAUAUUGUAAUUCUAUCUUAUUAUUACUGUAAUCUUUCACUGUGCCGAAUGUAUCGAUUCAGCUUUAUGCGUACAUACGUACAGGAAAAAAAGUACUAUAUAUACAGGCGUUGAUAUACCUAAGACCUCAACCAUAUCUUUGGGGUCCUGGGACAUAUCCCGUGGCGAAAAGGGGAGCAUACUGUAUAUGAUAUCUUUCCUUUUAAAAAAAAUUACUUGUUUUAUUUAUUUAGAUCCAAGCCAGUUAACAUGUAGUGUGAUAUAUAUCUUUCUGGCUGACAGACAGCAAACCUGUUGUUUGCUUUUUAAAAAUUUUUUUUAAAUUUUGAACUGUACAGGGAGUUGAGUUCCCCGGGCCUCUCUCAAACUGUGUUUUAGAGAUCGAGGUAUACUUUGCACACAAGCGGAGAGUGUAGAAGGUGAAGCGCGUAGCUUGGUGAGUUUUGACAGGCACACACACCCAAGGAGUCCGUAUCCUCUUGAGACAGAGAGCAUUUCUAUCACCCCAGAAAGAUCCCUCCUGCCCCUUCCCAGUGGCAGCCACUGUUUGAUCUCUUUCCUCGUAGGUUAGUUGGGUCUUGUCCAGAACUUCCUGGAAACGGAAGCAUUCGGUGUGUACGUUUUGUGUCCGGCUUCUUUUCCUCGGCAUCAUAUAUUGGAGACUUACCUAAAAUGUGUUUAUCAGUAGUUCCAUUUUAUUACUGUAUUCUGUUGUGUGACGACAACGUGUUCAUCUGUUUGCCUUUUGAGGGCUACUUGGGCUAUAAGAUCCGUACACAUGUCGCGGUGCGGACAUACGAUUUUAUUUACUGUGAGUAAAUCCCGAGGAGUGGAAUUUUGAGGCCACAAAAGAGGAACCCGUAAUUGGGGGAGCUUGCAAAGUGGUCUCCUCUGUCUGCUGGCACAGUCUGAAGUCACCAAAGCGGGCAGUCAGGAUGGGGACGGGGACGUGAAGGGGUGCGUGUGGAGCCAGAACGAACUGUCACGCGAGAGAAUGGGUGGAACCCAUGAGGAUACAGCCCGCACCAUUCUCUCACUGCGUCCACGCCUCUAUCGUUGGUGAUGAGCGCGUCCGGCAAGAGACGCAUGAGCCCUCCAGUCACACAUCUAAACGUGCCCCGGGAACAGAAUUAGGAGCAGCUGAAGGAGGAGAUACAGCGGUGCCGAACGCAGGCCCAGCCGCCAGCCCCACACCAGCAGGACAGCGAGCAGGUGAGUAACAACACGCGUGAGCCUUCCGGGCGUGGAAAGGGUAUGGGUGAGAUUUCAGUUCCUCCUUCCAAACUGCGUGUAAAACUCCUUUUGUGGCCCCUUCACAUCCAAAACUUGCAAA